This 584-nucleotide ribosomal RNA is filed under the name uncultured bacterium. RNAcentral describes it as "partial 16S ribosomal RNA". It matches the Rfam family "Bacterial small subunit ribosomal RNA", at positions 355 to 1375 of the family's 1533-position model. The record is from RNAcentral.
UGGGGAAUUUUGGACAAUGGGCGAAAGCCUGAUCCAGCAAUGCCGCGUGUGUGAAGAAGGCCUUCGGGUUGUAAAGCACUUUUGUCCGGAAAGAAAUCCUUGGCUCUAAUACAGUCGGGGGAUGACGGUACCGGAAGAAUAAGCACCGGCUAACUGCGUGCCAGCAGCCGCGGUAAUACGUAGGGUGCAAGCGUUAAUCGGAAUUACUGGGCGUAAAGCGUGCGCAGGCGGUUUGCUAAGACCGAUGUGAAAUCCCCGGGCUCAACCUGGGAACUGCAUUGGUGACUGGCAGGCUAGAGUAUGGCAGAGGGGGGUAGAAUUCCACGUGUAGCAGUGAAAUGCGUAGAGAUGUGGAGGAAUACCGAUGGCGAAGGCAGCCCCCUGGGCCAAUACUGACGCUCAUGCACGAAAGCGUGGGAGCAAACAGGAUUAGAUACCCUGGUAGUCCACGCCCUAAACGAUGUCAACUAGUUGUUGGGGAUUCAUUUCCUUAGUAACGUAGCUAACGCGUGAAGUUGACCGCCUGGGGAGUACGGUCGCAAGAUUAAAACUCAAAGGAAUUGACGGGGUCAUAGCUGUUUCCU